RNAcentral lists this ribosomal RNA (496 nucleotides) under uncultured bacterium. Its description in RNAcentral is "bacterial SSU rRNA". It matches the Rfam family "Bacterial small subunit ribosomal RNA", at positions 903 to 1397 of the family's 1533-position model. The record is from RNAcentral.
AAAUGAAUUGACGGGGGCCCGCACAAGCAGCGGAGCAUGUGGUUUAAUUCGAAGCAACGCGAAGAACCUUACCAGGGCUUGACAUCCCGGUGACCGGUAUAGAGAUAUACCUUCCCUUCGGGGCACCGGAGACAGGUGGUGCAUGGUUGUCGUCAGCUCGUGUCGUGAGAUGUUGGGUUAAGUCCCGCAACGAGCGCAACCCCUAUCUUUAGUUGCCAUCACGUAAUGGUGGGCACUCUAGAGAGACUGCCGGGGACAACUCGGAGGAAGGUGGGGAUGACGUCAAAUCAUCAUGCCCCUUAUGUCCUGGGCUACACACGUGCUACAAUGGUCUGAAACAGAGGGAAGCGAGGGUGUAAGCCGGAGCGAAUCCCGGAAACCAGAUCCCAGUUCGGAUUGUGGGCUGCAACCCGCCCACAUGAAGUCGGAGUUGCUAGUAAUCGCGAAUCAGCAUGUCGCGGUGAAUACGUUCCCGGGCCUUGCACACACCGCCCGU